CUGGCAUAUGGAAGCUCCAGGAUCCUACAUUUCUCAGAAGGGAUCUCUGCCACUUUAAAUGUACCAGUCUGAGACAUCAUCUUCACAGUCCCUUGAAGUAGAUGGCACUGACCAGGAUCAUAUCAGUUUGUGAACUCACGGAGCUUGGUUGGAGGAUAUUUUUGAUGGACCCUUUCAAAAUGCAUAGGAAAAGAGAACAUGAAUUGAUGAUCUGUCGUGCUUCCUCUGCAGCUGUUUUGAAGUCAACUUCUUCCAGCUCUGCCUUGUAGAAUUUCUGUGCACACUUUAUGUAUUCCUAUAAGCAGAAG
Parus major (Great Tit) is the source of this 308-nucleotide long non-coding RNA. RefSeq lists it as uncharacterized. NCBI's taxonomy places the organism in Eukaryota, Metazoa, Chordata, Aves, Passeriformes, Paridae. The record is from RefSeq and is a predicted model, not a curated record. The transcript is spliced from 3 exons.